Molecule: ribosomal RNA, 444 nt
Filed under: uncultured prokaryote
Description: bacterial SSU rRNA
Rfam family: Bacterial small subunit ribosomal RNA
Source: RNAcentral
CCAACGGGUGGCAGCAGUGGGGAAUUUUGCGCAAUGGACGAAAGUCUGACGCAGCAACGCCGCGUGGGUGACGAAGGUCUUCGGAUCGUAAAACCCUGUCGUCAGGGACGAAGGUAGGGAGUUUAAUACGCUCUUUGCUUGACGGUACCUGGAGAGGAAGCCCCGGCUAACUCUGUGCCAGCAGCCGCGGUAAUACAGAGGGGGCAAGCGUUAUUCGGAAUUAUUGGGCGUAAAGGGCGCGUAGGCGGUUCUGUAAGUAGGAUGUGCAAUCCCCGAGCUCAACUUGGGAACUGCAUCCUAGACUGCAAGACUAGAGUGCUGGAGAGGGUGGUAGAAUUCCACGUGUAGCGGUGAAAUGCGUAGAGAUGUGGAGGAAUACCAGUGGCGAAGGCGGCCACCUGGACAGUAACUGACGCUGAGGCGCGAAAGUGUGGGUAGCAAACA